This 679-nucleotide unclassified non-coding RNA is filed under the name Hevea brasiliensis (rubber tree). Lineage: Eukaryota; Viridiplantae; Streptophyta; Magnoliopsida; Malpighiales; Euphorbiaceae. The record is from RNAcentral.
GUUCCAUAAUUCUUACUCCUGAGGUAUGAUUCAUACUUCUGAACAUGCUUAGUAAAGUAUAAGCUUUUCCUUUUCCAUUUUUUUGGGUGGGGCAUGGGAGGAAGCUUUGAUGGGAAGUAAAGAGGAGGUUUGGAAAAUUCUCAUUUGGUAUUGCUAUUAGGUAUCAAAUCAGCUUCUAAUGACAGAAAUCUUAGUGUGGAUUUAAUUUGGGGCCUCAGGUUUAGUUUUAAAGCCAGUGUCAAAGCAUGUAGUUCCCUUAGUGAGGUGAAAAACACAUUAUAAUUGACUUUGGAUUAAAUCUGAAAAUGAUGAUCUAUAGUACUUGGUUUAUUUCAAAUGGUAAAACUAUGUGCGUUAUCCUAUUGUUUUUAUUUCUUUAGAUAGCUUUGUGAUCCUCUUUGUUCCAUUACUGGGUCAUUAGAGCUCUGUUUCUCUUUUUCUCUCAUGCAGGACAAAUUUGUUGUCUUUUUGUUGCAUUUAUAGUCUGUUCCAUUUGUUAUUUUGAUGUUGCAUUGAUGAAUGUUAAAAGUAUAUUAGUUAAUCAUGCUACAAGAUCUUGUGAACUCAAUGAAUUUCAUUUGAUAGCUUAUCCGUAUACUUGCUCUCCUUGUACUCUAAUAAUUUGACUUAAAGAAUGCUGCUUUUGUGUUAGCUUAGGGGGAUCGGACUGAUAAGAAAG